AUGCCCUGCUUUUCUGCAGCCACCAGGCAGCCCAGUGUGACGGUGCUGCCUCCCUCCAGAGAGGAGCUGUCCAGUGGGGGCUCUGCCACACUGCUGUGCCUGGCUGACAAGGGCUUCCCCUCAGACUGGAGCCUGAGCUGGAAGGUGGAUGGCAGCAGUAGGAGUGGAGUGGCCAGUGCUGGGCUCAUGAAGGACGGUGUGUACAGCUGGAGCAGCAGCCUGACCCUCACUGAUGCUGAGUGGAGAGGAGCCACCUCAGUGGUGUGUGAGGCCACCCAGGGAUCCCAGAGAGCCGUCAGCAAAGCCCUGAGCAGAGCUGACUGCUUCCAGUAGCCUCCAGCCUCUACUCUUCUCUGCUG
Engraulis encrasicolus (European anchovy) is the source of this 359-nucleotide non-coding RNA. The record is from the annotation of a RefSeq genome assembly. Lineage: Eukaryota; Metazoa; Chordata; Actinopteri; Clupeiformes; Engraulidae.